This 294-nucleotide unclassified non-coding RNA is filed under the name uncultured fungus. RNAcentral describes it as "sequence contains ITS1". Lineage: Eukaryota; Fungi. The record is from RNAcentral.
GGGACUACUCGGGUUUCUAAUCCUGUUUGCUCCCCACGCUUUCGUGCCUCAGUGUCAGGAACGUUCCAGAGAGCCGCCUUCGCCACCGGCCUUCUUCCCGAUCUCUACGCAUUUCACCGCUACACCGGGAAUUCCGCUCUCCUCUCCCGUCCUCUAGCUAGGCAGUCACCUGCGACCUUCUGGGGUUAAGCCCCAGGCUUUCCCACAGAUCUUAUCUAACCACCUACGCACGCUUUACGCCCAGUAAAUCCGAACAACGCUCGCCACCUCUGUCUUACCGCGGCUGCUGGCACC